UGUUCAGUAAUGCAUUUCAUCCUGAAAUCAUUGAGUUCCAUGCAGCCAGUUGCGGAUUACGAACUUCAGAUGGUGAUGGCCAUGAGUCAAGUGAUCCAAUCAGUACCUUUCAAAGUUCUGAGGACAUUUUAAAUUGGAUCGGUUAUCAAGUUGAUGAG
Cyprinus carpio (common carp) is the source of this 158-nucleotide long non-coding RNA. RefSeq lists it as uncharacterized. The transcript is spliced from 3 exons. Lineage: Eukaryota; Metazoa; Chordata; Actinopteri; Cypriniformes; Cyprinidae. The record is from RefSeq and is a predicted model, not a curated record.